AUGACCCUAGGGGCGGGAGCGGGAACCCCGGGCCCGGGGGUUGGGGGCUUCAAGACAGGGAGGUGGGGGCCGGAUGCCAGGGAGACUAUUGGGCUCCCACUCCCACGCCCAGGCCCAGCUGGGCACUGUGAACGGACGGGAGGGGGCUCCGGUGGGGGGUGGGGCGGGGUCCGGAGCCGGGGAGCCUGGCGGGAGCCAGCACCUAUGCUCGCCGCGUUCCGGCCUGCCUUUGGCACCCCUCUCACCCCACACGCCCCUCCCGGGGGGCCCUUUCCGCGCGCCGCGUCCCAGGGUGCAGCCUGGCGGCCGUGCCUGCACCGUGGGAAGGGGUGGAGGUGGGGCCGGGACGCGGGGCUAUGGGCCGGGCACGGGGCCGCGUUGCCCGCGAUGCCGGGCGCAUGCCUCAGCCUCUGCCCGAGCCCGAGAUGGGGUCAGAGGCUGCAGCAGACGCCAGCAUCUCCCCGCCGGGGCCUCGAGGACCGGGCAGCCAUCGCCGCCAUCGCCGCCGCCGCUGUUGCCUGCGCUGCUGAGACCAGGCUGGAGAUGGGUAAGUUGACCCUAGCAUCCAAGGGAACCCGCCCCGCAGCCCCUCCAUCCACGCCCUCCUCCUGGUCCUCCGCCUCCAUCUCUGCGUUCCUGGCACAACCACCCUCCCACGGCGUCAGGGCUCCCACAGUCCACUCCUUCCCUGAGCGUGACCCUUGGGGCAGGAGUGGGAGCCCCGGGCCGGGGUUGGGGGCGUGGAGACAGAGAGGUGAGGGCCGGAUGCCAGGGAGACUAUUGGGCUCCGACGCCCCCCCCAGGCCUACAGGGGAACUGCGAACAAAGGGCAGGGGGCUCCAGUGGGGGAAUGGGGUGGGGUCCGGAGCCGGGGAGCCUGGCGGGAGCUGGCACCUCUUCUCGCCUAGCUCGGCCUCCCCUUGACACCCCUCUCGCCCCACACACCCUUCCUGGGGGGCCCCUCCCCCGCGCCGCGUCCCAGGGUGCAGCCUGGCAGCAGUGACUGGAGGCGGAAGGGGUGGAGGUGGGGGCGUGAGGCGGGGAUGUGGGCCGGGCGCGGGGCCGCGAGGCCCGCGAUGCCGGGCGCAUGCCUCAGCCUCCGCCAGAGCCUGAAAUGGGGUGAGAGGCUGCAGCAGACGCCAGCAUCUGCCCGCCGGGGCCUCAAGGGCCGCGCAGCCAUCGCCGCCGCCGCCGCCGCUGCUGUUGCCUGCGCUACUGAGAACAGGCUGGAGAUGGACUCUGCAGGAGCUCGAGAUGGGGUGAGAGGCCUUAGCAGACGCCAGUAUCUCCCCGCUGGGGCCUCGAGGGCUGCGCAGCCAUCACCGACGCUGCCGCUGUUGCCUCCGCUGCUGAGACCAGGCUGGAGAUGGAUGGGGGAAUGGAGGCUCUGUCUUGUUAAGGACCACCCAUCCUUUGCCUCUCGGCUUCAGCAUCCGUUCAUUGUUCAGAGAGGCUCCUUGCUGUGGGCUGGGCAGAGCACCACUUCUCUUUCUUCAGUGUGUUUGCUGUGGCGUGUUCCACUAGGCCGUGAGUUCCCUAUCCUAUAGGAGCUUGAAUGAAUGAAUGAAUCUUCAGUGUGUUUGCUGUGGCGUGUUCCACUAGGCCGUGAGUUCCCUAUCCUAUAGGAGCUUGAAUGAAUGAAUGAAUGAAUGAAUGAAUGACUUUCAGCCCCAGGGAGCAUCCCUGUUCUUUUACCCAUUCCUCUUCCCUUUCCCUCCCUGUGGGAGGAGACUAACCCUCCAGAGGGCAUCCUCACACCAUGCAGGGAUGGUCACAGGGACCCUGCUUAGCCACACCUGCCAGAAGGGAAGGGGAAGUGAGGCUUUGGGCGGGACUGAAAGCAGGCCUGGUAGAAGGGUAGUGGACCACCCUCCUGUGGUCUAGAGUGGGGCUGACAUGGGCCCACAGCACUGCCUGUAACCCAGGAAGUUAACGGGGUCCCAAAAUACUUUUUCUUGCACCGCCCCAAGUGGAAAUUCCCCUGUUGGCCCACUUAUUUUCGCUUUAUCUAGAAAAAUAAAGUUGGAAAUAAUCAUUCACACACCCUAA
Molecule: RNA transcript, 2049 nt
Organism: Felis catus (domestic cat)
Lineage: Eukaryota; Metazoa; Chordata; Mammalia; Carnivora; Felidae
Gene name: SKI family transcriptional corepressor 1-like
Exons: 3
Source: RefSeq, a predicted model, not a curated record